AUACGUAGGUGGCAAGCGUUGUCCGGAAUUAUUGGGCGUAAAGGGCGCGCAGGCGGUUUCAUAAGUCUGAUGUGAAAUCCCACGGCUCAACCGUGGAAGGUCAUUGGAAACUGUGAGACUUGAGUACAGAAGAGGAGAGUGGAAUUCCACGUGUAGCGGUGAAAUGCGUAGAGAUGUGGAGGAACACCAGUGGCGAAGGCGGCUCUCUGGUCUGUUACUGACGCUGAGGCGCGAAAGCGUGGGUAGCGAACAGGAUUAGAUACCCUGGUAGUCCACGCUGUAAACGAUGAGUGCUAGGUGUUGGGGGCUUCCACCCUCAGUGCCGGAGUUAACACAUUAAGCACUCCGCCUGGGGAGUACGGCCGCAAGGCUGAA
Molecule: ribosomal RNA, 375 nt
Filed under: uncultured bacterium
Lineage: Bacteria
Description: bacterial SSU rRNA
Rfam family: Bacterial small subunit ribosomal RNA
Source: RNAcentral